Molecule: long non-coding RNA, 743 nt
Organism: Xenia sp. Carnegie-2017
Lineage: Eukaryota; Metazoa; Cnidaria; Anthozoa; Malacalcyonacea; Xeniidae
Exons: 2
Source: RefSeq, a predicted model, not a curated record
ACCGACGCGGUGAGAGCUGCGAUUACUAAUUUCAAACACAUUUUACUCGUGGCACAAUUUAUAGCAAAUAUACGGUGAUCUGUCAACCUGUUUUACAGUUGAUCAGCACUACGUGUUUACAGAAAGAAUUCUUGCUGUAGUUUUAUCACACUCGUGCGAGAGUGCAACCCAGUCUCCAAACGAUGACAUACGAUCAGCACCUCGUGCUCUAGCGUAAGCAGUGGAUAUUGGAGUGAGAUCAUUGUACAAAUCAUCUACCAUGCAGAGCUUGGCUUGGUUCAUGCUUAACGGGACUGCAACUGCUGCACCAGCCGGGCUCACGUGCUUGAAAGAUGCUGCGGCAGGAAGAUCCAAAGCUUCUUUUAAUUCCUGGAUUUUUUGAGAGAAUUUAAGUGCAAUAAAGCAAAAUCAACAACAACGUACUUUAAUUAUUCAUUAAGUGUAAAAACAAUCAAAUAGUUAUCAUUUCUUACUUUAACAAGUUGCCAGGAAUUAAAUGCAUCACAGAGGUUGAUAAAACCAGGUGAACCAUUCACAACCUUUACAGGCAACUUGGUAUCGGUAGUAUAAAGCUGUGCUGGGUUCUGAUGAGGAUUCAUGCCAUAUCUCAGGGGAAUAUGAGACACACCAAGACUGUAUUCUUUUCUGAAAUAAUCUGCAAUGGCAUUGUCGUAUUCUGCAGUAUGGGUGAACGCCUACAUGUCAACAAAAAGUUAUAAAAGUAAAAAAUAUUCAAGAAAUGA